UGGGGAAUAUUGGACAAUGGGCGGAAGCCUGAUCCAGCAACGCCGCGUGAGGGAUGACGGCCUUCGGGUUGUAAACCUCUUUCAGUAGCCACGAAGCGCAAGUGACGGUAGCUACAGAAGAAGGACCGGCCAACUACGUGCCAGCAGCCGCGGUAAUACGUAGGGUCCGAGCGUUGUCCGGAAUUAUUGGGCGUAAAGGGCUCGUAGGCGGUUUGUUGCGUCGGGAGUGAAAACUUCGAGCUUAACUCGGAGCUUGCUUUCGAUACGGGCAGACUUGAGGCAUUCAGGGGAGAACGGAAUUUCUGGUGUAGCGGUGAAAUGCGCAGAUAUCAGAAGGAACACCGGUGGCGAAGGCGGUUCUCUGGGAAUGUUCUGACGCUGAGGAGCGAAAGUGUGGGGAGCGAACA
Molecule: ribosomal RNA, 407 nt
Filed under: uncultured Nocardioides sp.
Lineage: Bacteria; Bacillati; Actinomycetota; Actinomycetes; Propionibacteriales; Nocardioidaceae
Description: bacterial SSU rRNA
Rfam family: Bacterial small subunit ribosomal RNA
Source: RNAcentral